GACGAACGCUGGCGGCGUGCUUAACACAUGCAAGUCGAACGGAAAGGCCCCCUUGUGGGGUACUCGAGUGGCGAACGGGUGAGUAACACGUGAGUAACCUACCCUUGACUUUGGGAUAACUUCAGGAAACUGGGGCUAAUACCGGAUAGGAGCUCCUGCUGCAUGGUGGGGGUUGGAAAGUUUCGGCGGUUGGGGAUGGACUCGCGGCUUAUCAGCUUGUUGGUGGGGUAGUGGCUCACCAAGGCUUUGACGGGUAGCCGGCCUGAGAGGGUGACCGGCCAACUUGGGGAUGGAGAACGGCCCAGAAUCCUACGGGGGGCAGCAGGGGGGAAUAUUGGCAAAUGGGGGGGAGGCUGAUGCAGCCACCGCGGGGGGGGGAUGGCGGCCUUCGGGUUGUAAACCGCUUUCGCCUGGGACGAAGGGGGGGGGGCGGUAAAGGGGAAAGAAGCACCGGCUAACUACG
RNAcentral lists this ribosomal RNA (463 nucleotides) under uncultured bacterium. Its description in RNAcentral is "partial 16S ribosomal RNA". It matches the Rfam family "Bacterial small subunit ribosomal RNA", at positions 28 to 505 of the family's 1533-position model. The record is from RNAcentral.